UGCUGAUUUAGAAGAGAUCUAAACUUAAAUCUUCUCACUAAAUAUUAAGUCUACAGAUCUUCCAUCAUUGUAGAAAUACGGGUGCCUUUCUGGUGUUGAUCGUUCUCAACUGGUUACAGUGGUUCGGUUGUAUCGAGAAGGUACAACCACUCUAUUAACAUUUGAUGUCACGGGAUAGAGGUGGGGUUGGGCCUAAUAAUUGUUAG
RNAcentral lists this long non-coding RNA (206 nucleotides) under Elaeis guineensis (African oil palm). RNAcentral's name for it is "long non-coding RNA (EGUI_LNC066489)". Lineage: Eukaryota; Viridiplantae; Streptophyta; Magnoliopsida; Arecales; Arecaceae. The record is from RNAcentral.